This 533-nucleotide ribosomal RNA is filed under the name Tetranychus urticae (two-spotted spider mite). Its description in RNAcentral is "rRNA tetur06g06580". It matches the Rfam family "Eukaryotic small subunit ribosomal RNA", at positions 21 to 380 of the family's 1831-position model. Lineage: Eukaryota; Metazoa; Arthropoda; Arachnida; Trombidiformes; Tetranychidae. The record is from RNAcentral.
UAGUCAUAUGCUUGUCUCAAAGAUUAAGCCAUGCAUGUCUAAGUACAUACUGUUUAUAAAGUGAAACCGCGAAUGGCUCAUUAAAUCAGUUACGGUUCCUCGUAGCGAAUCUACCAUCUUUUUGUGUCCAAACAAGAACUUGAAAUCCUCAAAUUGUAGCAAAUACUCGUUUUCUAUUUUUUAUUCAUUGUUUCAACCCGGAAGCGCGAAACACGAAUACAUGAGUCACUAGACUCUUUUACAAACUCGCAAGUCCCUGCGAGGAUUGGGUUCUUGUUUGGUGAAGAAUUUGGCUAAGGUUCCGGCGUGUCUAGGGGUGAACGCAAUCGCCUCUACGAGGUGUGGCUAGAAACUAGAGAACGGCAGCUCAUACGUACCAUUUGUUGGCUAACGGAGAGUGUCACUGGUUACGUGAACGGCUGACUACAGCCCCUCAACAUAUUGGUGUUUUGGUUCGCCCAUUGACUCAACCAGAGGGUAAUAGUUCUGUUUAAUUCCAGUAUAAGUCCGAAAGGGAGGAUAAGCGUGCUUAA